AUAAAUACAAGGAAGAGAAGAGUAGCAUUGUAAUGUUCUUGCAGAGAGCCCGGUUAGGUGAAAGCGGGCAGGGCGGACCAGUGUGAAGCAAGUCUUGGAGUAGCGCAUGGGAUUUCGAAAGAGUGAUCAUGCGACGGGCUCUCCCGUUAUAGAGAAGCAGUAUAAGCCCGUAACGGCCGUACUGAUUGAGGCUAUGGAUAGUAAUAUCCUGGUGAAAUAGGGUGGCAACACGUGUCGAUUAUUCGAAUCCGUCCCUAAG
RNAcentral lists this non-coding RNA (259 nucleotides) under Lysinibacillus odysseyi. RNAcentral describes it as "T-box sequence". It matches the Rfam family "T-box leader". Rfam says of the family: Uncharged tRNA acts as the effector for transcription antitermination of genes in the T-box leader family. The record is from RNAcentral. Lineage: Bacteria; Bacillati; Bacillota; Bacilli; Caryophanales; Bacillaceae.